RNAcentral lists this ribosomal RNA (504 nucleotides) under uncultured Desulfobulbus sp. RNAcentral describes it as "bacterial SSU rRNA". It matches the Rfam family "Bacterial small subunit ribosomal RNA", at positions 885 to 1382 of the family's 1533-position model. The record is from RNAcentral. Lineage: Bacteria; Pseudomonadati; Thermodesulfobacteriota; Desulfobulbia; Desulfobulbales; Desulfobulbaceae.
GCCAGCCCGCUCAGAAACUCAAAGGAAUUGACGGGGCCCGCGACAAGCGGUGGAGUAUGUGGUUUAAUUCGAUGCAACGCGAAGAACCUUACCUGGUCUUGACAUCCCGGAGACCCUUAGGAAACUAGGGGUGCUUCCAUCUGGAAGAAUCUGGAGACAGGUGCUGCAUGGCUGUCGUCAGCUCGUGUCGUGAGAUGUUGGGUUAAGUCCCGCAACGAGCGCAACCCUUGCCUUUAGUUGCCAGCAGUUCGGCUGGGCACUCUAAAGGGACUGCCGGUGUUAAACCGGAGGAAGGUGGGGAUGACGUCAAGUCCUCAUGGCCUUUAUGACCAGGGCUACACACGUACUACAAUGGCCGAUACAAAGGGCAGCGACACUGCGAGGUGAAGCCAAUCCCGUAAAAUCGGUCUCAGUCCGGAUUGGAGUCUGCAACUCGACUCCAUGAAGUUGGAAUCGCUAGUAAUCGUGGAUCAGCAUGCCACGGUGAAUACGUUCCCGGGCCUU